This 301-nucleotide ribosomal RNA is filed under the name uncultured bacterium. Its description in RNAcentral is "partial 16S ribosomal RNA". It matches the Rfam family "Bacterial small subunit ribosomal RNA", at positions 509 to 807 of the family's 1533-position model. The record is from RNAcentral.
CAGCCGCCGCGGGAAUACGAAGGGUGCAAGCGUUACUCGGAAUUACUGGGCGUAAAGCGUGCGUAGGUGGUGGUUUAAGUCCGUUGUGAAAGCCCUGGGCUCAACCUGGGAAUUGCAGUGGAUACUGGGUCACUAGAGUGUGGUAUAGGAUAGUGGAAUUUCCGGUGUAGCAGUGAAAUGCGUAGAGAUCGGAAGGAACAUCUGUGGCGAAGGCGACUAUCUGGGCCAACACUGACACUGAGGCACGAAAGCGUGGGGAGCAAACAGGAUUAGAUACCCCGGUAGUCCCUGUCUCUUAUAC